Molecule: long non-coding RNA, 231 nt
Filed under: Pan paniscus (pygmy chimpanzee)
Lineage: Eukaryota; Metazoa; Chordata; Mammalia; Primates; Hominidae
Description: lncRNA (ENSPPAG00000044429.1)
Source: RNAcentral
CAACAAAACACAGGCAUGGAUUUUGGAUUAAAGUGCCUUUUGAUUUUUCUUCAAAUUAAACUACAUGAAGGAUUCCUUAAAACAGUCUCAUGAUGGCCCGGCCAAUCCUGAGCUGUCCCUCCAUAAUGAAACCCUCAACAGCUUCUGCCAGACAAACUUCCAGGAAUUGGGAGAGCUAGAGAAGACUGUUUUAUUCAAACAUCUCCUUCAAUGCAAGUGAGUCUGAAGGGU